UGAACGCUGGCGGCGUGCUUAACACAUGCAAGUCGAACGAUGAAGCCUAGCUUGCUAGGUGGAUUAGUGGCGCACGGGUGAGUAAUAUAUAGAUAAUGUGCCUCUUAGUCUGGGAUAGCCAUUGGAAACGAUGAUUAAUACUAGAUACUCCUUCUAAACUUAAGUUUAGUCGGGAAAGUUUUUCGCUAAGAGAUCAGUCUAUAUCCCAUCAGUUAGUUGGUAAGGUAACGGCUUACCAAGGCAAUGACGGGUAGCGGGUUUGAGAGGAUGAUCCGCCACACUGGUACUGAGACACGGACCAGACUCCUACGGGAGGCAGCAGUGAGGAAUAUUGCACAAUGGGGGAAACCCUGAUGCAGCAACGCCGCGUGGAGGAUGACGCAUUUCGGUGUGUAAACUCCUUUUAUAUGAGAAGAUAAUGACGGUAUCAUAUGAAUAAGCACCGGCUAACUCC
Molecule: ribosomal RNA, 454 nt
Filed under: uncultured bacterium
Lineage: Bacteria
Description: bacterial SSU rRNA
Rfam family: Bacterial small subunit ribosomal RNA
Source: RNAcentral